AGGAAAUUCACUUGCUUAGAAGAAGCCAAACAGUGUCAUAUGCAAUUACAAAAUUUUCUUCAACAAGGCCACACCUACUCUAACAAGGCCUAAUUCUUCUAAUCCUUUCAAAUACACUGCUCUCUGAUAACCAAACAUUCAAAAAUAUGAGCCUACGGGGGACAUUCUUAUUCAAACCACAAAAGAGCUCAAGGAACACUUUGGAAGAGGAAGCAAAACAAUUGUCAGAGCCAUAGGGCAUGGAGAAGAGGACACUAAGGCAUUGUUAUCACUGCAAGAACAAUGCACAUAUGAACUCACAGGUGAUUACAGUUAAGGGACUGCAUAAAUCUCAGAAGAGACUUUGAAUUUGGGACUUUUAAACAAUGUUGAGACUUGUUUUAGACUACGGGGACUUUUGAAGUGCAUUUUGCCUGUGAUAUGGCCCUAUGGGGUCCAUGGAGUGGAAUGUGGUGGUUUGAAUAAAAAUGACCCCCACAGGUCCAUAAGGAUUGCUGCUAUUGGGAGGUAUGGCCUUGUUGGAGUAGGUGUAGCAUUGUUGAAGGAAGUGUGGCUCAAUUUACUUCCUGCUGUCUGAGGAUCAAGAUGUAACACUCUCAUCUCAGCUCCUUCUCCAGAAUCAUGUCAGCCUGCAUGCCACCUGCCAUGACCAUAAUGGACUAAACCUCUGAAACU
This 675-nucleotide long non-coding RNA is filed under the name Cricetulus griseus (Chinese hamster). RNAcentral describes it as "lncRNA (ENSCGRG00015037076.1)". Lineage: Eukaryota; Metazoa; Chordata; Mammalia; Rodentia; Cricetidae. The record is from RNAcentral.